CAGUAGCCACGGUAAUACGAAGGGUGCAAGCGUUAAUCGGAAUUACUGGGCGUAAAGCGUGCGUAGGCGGUGAGUUAAGUCUGCUGUGAAAUCCCCGGGCUCAACCUGGGAAUGGCAGUGGAUACUGGCUCGCUAGAGUGUGUCAGAGGAUGGUGGAAUUCCCGGUGUAGCGGUGAAAUUCGUAGAUAUUCGGAAGAACACCAGUGGCGAAGGCGGCUCACUGGCUCAUACUGGACGCUGAGGUGCGAAAGCGUGGGGAGCAAACAGGAUUAGAUACCCCCGUAGUCCCUGUCUCUUAUAC
RNAcentral lists this ribosomal RNA (301 nucleotides) under uncultured bacterium. Its description in RNAcentral is "partial 16S ribosomal RNA". It matches the Rfam family "Bacterial small subunit ribosomal RNA", at positions 509 to 807 of the family's 1533-position model. The record is from RNAcentral.